AGCGCGGAGCACGAGGAAUUCUGCGUGAAUCUGCCGGGACCAUCCGGUAAGGCUAAAUACUCCCGAGAGACCGAUAGCGAACCAGUACCGUGAGGGAAAGGUGAAAAGCACUUCGAACAGAAGAGUGAAAUAGUUCCUGAAACCGUGCGCCUACAAGCGGUCGGAGCAGCGUAAGCUGUGACGGCGUGCCUUUUGCAUAAUGAACCUACGAGUUACCGUUGCCGGCAAGGUUAAGGGUCAUGAGACCUGUAGCCGAAGCGAAAGCGAGUCUGAACAGGGCGUAUAGUCGGUAGUGGUAGACGCGAAACCAAGUGAUCUACCCUUGAGCAGGUUGAAGUCCGGGUAACACCGGAUGGAGGACCGAACCAAUAAGCGUUGAAAAGCUUCUGGAUGACUUGAGGGUAGGGGUGAAAGGCUAAUCAAACUUGGAGAUAGCUCGUACUCCCCGAAAUGCAUUUAGGUGCAGCCUUGACCAUUACUAAUGUGAGGUAGAGCGACUGAUAAGAUGCGAGGGCUUCACCGCCUAUCAAGUCUUGAUAAACUCCGAAUGCGCAUUAGUUUGAGGUCAGGAGUGAGGGCAUGGGUGCUAAGGUCCGUGCCCGAGAGGAGAAGAAUCCGGACCACCUGCUAAGGUCCCGAAAUAACAGCUAAGUUAAACUAACGAAGUCAGAUUGCUAAGACAGCUAGGAUGUUGGCUUGGAAGCAGCCAUUCAUUUAAAGAGUGCGUAACAGCUCACUAGUCGAGGAGUUUGGCGUGGAUAAUAAUCGGGUAUCAAGCUGUUUACCGAAGCAGUGGGAUCAUAUAAUGAUCGGUAGGGGAGCAUUCCACUCUGCGUCGAAGGUGGGGCGUGAGCCCUGCUGGAGCGUGUGGAAAAGCAAAUGUAGGUAUAAGUAACGAUAAAGGGGGUGAGAAACCCCCUCGCCGCAAGACUCAGGUUUCCUGAUCAACGCUAAUCGGAUCAGGGUCAGUCGGGUCCUAAGGCUCAGCCGAACGGCGAGGCCGAUGGCAGAACCGGUUAAUAUUCCGGUACUACCCUUUAGGGUGACGUGGAGACGCAGUCGUGACAAUGCCGCCAGCUGACGGAAUAGCUGGUUAAAGGGUGUAGAAGCUGAUUGUGGCAGGCAAAUCCACCACAAGAUUCGAACCUGACAGUAUGGAGCGUCCUUCCGGACAAUCCAACAGUGCAUGUAAUCAUACUGCCAAGAAAAUCCGCUAAACAUAACCUUCAGGGUACCCGUACCGCAAACGGACACACGUAGUCGGGUUGAAUAUACUAAGGCGCUUGAGUGAUUCACGGUUAAGGAACUAGGCAAAUUAACCCUGUAACUUCGGGAAAAAGGGUCCCUACCCGUUAGCGGGAGGGCGCAGAGAAUCGGUCCAGGCAACUGUUUAACAAAAACACAGGGCUGUGCGAAGUCGAAAGACGCUGUAUACAGCCUGACACCUGCCCGGUGCUGGAAGGUUAAGAGGAGAUGUCAUCGCAAGAGAAGCAUUGAAUUGAAGCCCCAGUAAACGGCGGCCGUAACUAUAACGGUCCUAAGGUAGCGAAAUUCCUUGUCGGGUAAGUUC
This 1570-nucleotide ribosomal RNA is filed under the name human gut metagenome. RNAcentral's name for it is "bacterial LSU rRNA". It matches the Rfam family "Bacterial large subunit ribosomal RNA", at positions 414 to 1983 of the family's 2925-position model. The record is from RNAcentral.